UGGGGAAUAUUGGGCAAUGGGCGCAAGCCUGACCCAGCAACGCCGCGUGAAGGAAGAAGGCUUUCGGGUUGUAAACUUCUUUUCUCAGGGACGAAUAAAGUGACGGUACCUGGGGAAUAAGCCACGGCUAACUACGUGCCAGCAGCCGCGGUAAUACGUAGGUGGCAAGCGUUAUCCGGAUUUAUUGGGUGUAAAGGGCGUGUAGGCGGGACUGCAAGUCAGAUGUGAAAACCAUGGGCUCAACCCAUGGCCUGCAUUUGAAACUGUAGUUCUUGAGUGCUGGAGAGGCAAUCGGAAUUCCGUGUGUAGCGGUGAAAUGCGUAGAUAUACGGAGGAACACCAGUGGCGAAGGCGGAUUGCUGGACAGUAACUGACGCUGAGGCGCGAAAGCGUGGGGAGCAAACAGGAUUAGAUACCC
Molecule: ribosomal RNA, 418 nt
Filed under: uncultured bacterium
Lineage: Bacteria
Description: bacterial SSU rRNA
Rfam family: Bacterial small subunit ribosomal RNA
Source: RNAcentral